GCGAGAGUGGUGAGUAUCUGAAUACAAUUUAUGAAGCAUUCUGCCAGAGGAGCAUGUUAAUAUUUCAUGGGUCUUAUUACAGCAACAAAGUACUGGGGAGAUUUCACAAAAACCCACUUACACGCAGAGUGGCAUAUGUAUGUAAACACACACACACACACACACACACACACACACACACGCCUUCCAGAGUCAUUUUAAUUGCCGUCUCUGGGGUGACACAAGUUGUGUGGAAGCCCCCCACUGGUUCAUUCCCUGAUGAACACACAUGCACACACACACACAAACACACACACACACACAAUCACCCCAGGUUUGCAGUAUAAUGAGUGCUAUAUUUAAACAGUGCUGUUGCACUUGGACAAACUAAACAAGGAUGAUAUACUGUUUCCUCGUAUAGAGUUUUCCAUCUUCAGGCUGUGUGUUCUACGAGUCUCCAUCCUCAUCAAACAAAAAAGGGAGAUAGAGCAGGGUGGAUAUGUAGGGAGAGUACAGCAAGGUGGAUGUAUAUGGAGAAUACAGCAGGGUGGAUUUGUAGGGAGAGUACAGUAGACUGGAUUUGUAGGGAGAGUACAGCAGGGUUGAUGUAUAUGGAGAGUACAGCAGGGUGGAUGUAUAUGGAGAGUACAGUAGGGUACAAGAUUAGAUUUGGCACUGUCCUGGUGAAGAAGAAAGCGAAGCUGAGCUUUAUGGAGAAAUGAAAAUCCUCUGAACCUCAUGAAUAAUGCAGAUGGAGGUGCUGACCUUUCUCUCGCAUGCUCUGGUGGCCAUGUUUGGCUCUCAGUGUGCCCGGCCCUGUAAGAUUCCUCAGCCUUCGUCACGAUGCACUCUGAUUCGCACUCUCAUCUUUAGAAAUGCCACAAUUUACCCCGAGGUGCCUCUUUACCUACUAAACCAUGCUGAAAAACAAAUCUUACACAGACAGCAUUGAUAAUUGUUUUGAUCUCUGUGGCAGUAUGAACGUACAGUAUAAUUUAUGUGUACACACAGAAGCAUAAUUCCAAUAGGGGUUUACAGCACAAUUUUUGUGUGACUUUGUCUUCAAAGUAGUUGUGUUUAGCAUGAAUUCUUCAGAGUAAAACACUGACACACUGGUGUAGCACCAGAACAAGCACCACGACCCGCUGAACACCUCGCAGCACCAUGGAUAGCGACAUCACUAAAACGCACUGAACUUCAGAACCAUGGAUAGAAACAUCAAACCACACUGAAGUUCAGAACCAUGGACAGGAGUGUCGACACAAACAAGCUGAGUUUCAGCACCAUGGACAGCGCCGACGCCGUUCUACCCUUUGCCAGUGUUUUCAGUACCAUAGACGGUAUCGAGUAAGAUCCAAUCUGUUUCAGGGCCGCGGCGGCAACAAAAA
Molecule: long non-coding RNA, 1367 nt
Organism: Ictalurus punctatus (channel catfish)
Lineage: Eukaryota; Metazoa; Chordata; Actinopteri; Siluriformes; Ictaluridae
Source: Ensembl